Molecule: ribosomal RNA, 464 nt
Filed under: uncultured bacterium
Lineage: Bacteria
Description: bacterial SSU rRNA
Rfam family: Bacterial small subunit ribosomal RNA
Source: RNAcentral
AUUGAACGCUGGCGGCAUGCCUUACACAUGCAAGUCGAACGGCAGCACGGGAGCAAUCCUGGUGGCGAGUGGCGAACGGGUGAGUAAUAUAUCGGAACGUGCCCGGUCGUGGGGAUAACGUAGCGAAAGCUACGCUAAUACCGCAUACGAUCUACGGAUGAAAGCGGGGGAUCGCAAGACCUCGCGCGAUUGGAGCGGCCGAUAUCAGAUUAGGUAGUUGGUGAGGUAAAGGCUCACCAAGCCGACGACCUGUAGCUGGUCUGAGAGGACGACCAGCCACACUGGGACUGAGACACGGCCCAGACUCCUACGGGAGGCAGCAGUGGGGAAUAUUGGACAAUGGGCGCAAGCCUGAUCCAGCCAUGCCGCGUGCAGGAAGACGCAUCUAUGGUGUGUAAACUGCUUUUGUACGGGAAGAAACACUCCUACCUGUAGGAGCUUGACGGUACCGUAAGAAUAAGGAU